This 75-nucleotide transfer RNA is filed under the name compost metagenome. Its description in RNAcentral is "tRNA-Asp". It matches the Rfam family "tRNA". From Rfam's summary of the family: Transfer RNA (tRNA) molecules are approximately 80 nucleotides in length. Their secondary structure includes four short double-helical elements and three loops (D, anti-codon, and T loops). The record is from RNAcentral.
GGUUCCAUCGUUCAUCGGUUAGGACGAUACGUUGUCAGCGUAUAGAGAGGGGUUCGAUUCCCCUUGGAAUCGCCA